GCUGAAUUUUGACGUAAUUUCUCUUGAUAUAGCUAGCAGGUGGUAGAGGUGUAUUUGAAAGUCAGCAGCAUUCUGACAGCGAUUAGAAUGUCCUCCGUCUGCUAGUCUUCUUGAUUCUUAAAUUCUGUGGAGCUCAAAUAGACAACAAAGCUUGUGGAACUAAUUAAGUGUUAGCAUAAAUAUCUAGCCUUCAUCAUGUUGAGCUUCCUUAAUAAAUGUUAUUU
This 224-nucleotide long non-coding RNA is filed under the name Sorghum bicolor (sorghum). RNAcentral describes it as "long non-coding RNA (SBIC_LNC014121)". Lineage: Eukaryota; Viridiplantae; Streptophyta; Magnoliopsida; Poales; Poaceae. The record is from RNAcentral.